GCAGUACGGCUAGCGUAUACUGCAGUCGUACGCUUGCUAUUUGCCACCGGAGCUUGCUCCACCGGAAAAAGAGGAGUGGCGAACGGGUGAGUAACACGUGGGUAACCUGCCCAUCAGAAGGGGAUAACACUUGGAAACAGGUGCUAAUACCGUAUAACAAUCGAAACCGCAUGGUUUUGAUUUGAAAGGCGCUUUCGGGUGUCGCUGAUGGAUGGACCCGCGGUGCAUUAGCUAGUUGGUGAGGUAACGGCUCACCAAGGCCACGAUGCAUAGCCGACCUGAGAGGGUGAUCGGCCACAUUGGGACUGAGACACGGCCCAAACUCCUACGGGAGGCAGCAGUAGGGAAUCUUCGGCAAUGGACGAAAGUCUGACCGAGCAACGCCGCGUGAGUGAAGAAGGUUUUCGGAUCGUAAAACUCUGUUGUUAGAGAAGAACAAGGAUGAGAGUAACUGUUCAUCCCUUGACGGUAUCUAACCAGAAAGCCACGGCUAACUACGUGCCAGCAGCCGCGGUAAUACGUAGGUGGCAAGCGUUGUCCGGAUUUAUUGGGCGUAAAGCGAGCGCAGGCGGUUUCUUAAGUCUGAUGUGAAAGCCCCCGGCUCAACCGGGGAGGGUCAUUGGAAACUGGGAGACUUGAGUGCAGAAGACGAGAGUGGAAUUCCAUGUGUAGCUGUGAAAUGCGUAGAUAUAUGGAAGAACCCCCGUUGCGACGCCGCUUUUCUGAGCCU
This 730-nucleotide ribosomal RNA is filed under the name Enterococcus lactis. Its description in RNAcentral is "bacterial SSU rRNA". It matches the Rfam family "Bacterial small subunit ribosomal RNA", at positions 35 to 741 of the family's 1533-position model. The record is from RNAcentral. Lineage: Bacteria; Bacillati; Bacillota; Bacilli; Lactobacillales; Enterococcaceae.